This 707-nucleotide ribosomal RNA is filed under the name uncultured bacterium. RNAcentral describes it as "bacterial SSU rRNA". It matches the Rfam family "Bacterial small subunit ribosomal RNA", at positions 642 to 1349 of the family's 1533-position model. The record is from RNAcentral.
AGUGCAGUAGGGGAGUCUUGGAAUUCCUGGNGUAGCGGUGAAAUGCGCAGAUAUCAGGAGGAACACCCGGUGGCGAAGGCGGGACUCUGGGCUGUAACUGACACUGAGGAGCGAAAGCAUGGGGAGCGAACAGGAUUAGAUACCCUGGUAGUCCAUGCCGUAAACGUUGGGCACUAGGUGUGGGGGGCAUUCCACGUUCUCCGCGCCGUAGCUAACGCAUUAAGUGCCCCGCCUGGGGAGUACGGUCGCAAGGCUAAAACUCAAAGGAAUUGACGGGGCCCGCACAAGCGGCGGAGCAUGCGGAUUAAUUCGAUGCAACGCGAAGAACCUUACCAAGGCUUGACAUACACUGGACCGUUCUGGAAACAGUUCUUCUCUUUGGAGCUGGUGUACAGGUGGUGCAUGGUUGUCGUCAGCUCGUGUCGUGAGAUGUUGGGUUAAGUCCCGCAACGAGCGCAACCCUCGUUCUAUGUUGCCAGCACGUGAUGGUGGGAACUCAUAGGAGACUGCCGGGGUCAACUCGGAGGAAGGUGGGGAUGACGUCAAAUCAUCAUGCCCUUUAUGUCUUGGGCUUCACGCAUGCUACAAUGGCUGGUACAGAGAGAGGCGAACCCGUGAGGGUGAGCGAAUCCCUUAAAGCCAGUCUCAGUUCGGAUCGUAGUCUGCAAUUCGACUACGUGAAGUCGGAGUCGCUAGUAAUCGCAGAU